ACAGGGGUGUAGUGGUUAGCACUGUCACCUCACAAGAAAAAGGUUGCAGGUUUGAGUCCUGGUCUGGG
Molecule: transfer RNA, 68 nt
Filed under: Anguilla anguilla (European eel)
Lineage: Eukaryota; Metazoa; Chordata; Actinopteri; Anguilliformes; Anguillidae
Description: tRNA-Val
Source: RNAcentral